GAAAUUUUUUUAUUGGAGGAAAGAGAAAGAAGGACAAUGGAAGGAUUUAAUUUUUCGAACUCUACAUUAAAUUUAUGAAUUCUAUAUUUUAUCAAAUAAUACGACAUAAUCGUUAUUCUCUAAAAGCUUAAAUUGAUAUGGAACGCGCAUGCACUCGAGACUCUUCGCUAGGCUCAUGAUGUAGAAUUGAAUGGAAGAAAAUUAAUAAUGUUAGGAGCCUCACAUAACUCGAACUCAAGACCUCAUACUUUGAUGUCAUAUUAAUAAUACGAAACAACCGUUAUUCUCUAAAAAAAUAAUGGUAUUUUAAAUAUUUUUAUAUUUAACAAUAUUGGUUCAUCUUAUCAAUAUAAGAAUCAUCUUAAUC
Molecule: long non-coding RNA, 367 nt
Filed under: Ananas comosus (pineapple)
Lineage: Eukaryota; Viridiplantae; Streptophyta; Magnoliopsida; Poales; Bromeliaceae
Description: long non-coding RNA (ACOM_LNC017298)
Source: RNAcentral